UUAUCCGAUCCUACCACUUGUUCAAGCACUGACAAAACCAGCAGCACCACGGCCAGUUUGACCAACAUUGCGUCUCCGACAGUGUGCUCCGAUUCCCAGCAAAUAUCCGGCAGUGUGUGCGCGCGCGCGCGCGCGUGUUUGAUCGAGCCCCUGGCCAGACCACUCUGUGAGUCGCUGUGGGGAUAGAAGGGCCCUUUAUUAGAGAUGGCACACAGGGGUCCUUCAUAAGGCCCACAUGGGCACUUUAUAACAUCUGACAUAAGCAUUUGAGAGUGUGGUUACCAAUGCUUGUGGUUGAUGCAUGGCUCACUACUCACUUUCUCUCCCCUCUCCACUGCCCUUCAACCAAGAGAAAGGGAGAAAGAAACAGACGGGGUAAACAUAAAAGCAGAACACGGAGAGAGGGGAAAAUCAAAAUCUAGUGAUGCUGGACCAUAAACACACAGAAGCAGUUGGAUAAACAUCAUGAACUUCAUAUAAAAGCUCUGAGGGGGCUUUCGCUAAUAAAAAAAAGCUACUAAUCAUUGUAAGCCAAUGCUAUAUUAGCAUCAGAGGUGAUGGCUGACUUUAAUAAUGUGUUAUAAAAAGCAAUUCCCAACGCUGUGGGUGUUUUCUGAUCCUGUGCCCCUUUCGGCAUCUUUGUCACUACUUUCCAGAAAGAAAACAGAUGGCCGUCCA
Sander lucioperca (pikeperch) is the source of this 678-nucleotide long non-coding RNA. RefSeq lists it as uncharacterized. The transcript has 2 exons. Lineage: Eukaryota; Metazoa; Chordata; Actinopteri; Perciformes; Percidae. The record is from RefSeq and is a predicted model, not a curated record.